AACGUAGGUGGCGAGCGUUAUCCGGAUUUACUGGGCGUAAAGCGUGCGCAGGCGGUGAUGUAAGACAGAUGUGAAAUCCCCGGGCUCAACCUGGGAACUGCAUUUGUGACUGCAUCGCUGGAGUGCGGCAGAGGGGGAUGGAAUUCCGCGUGUAGCAGUGAAAUGCGUAGAUAUGCGGAGGAACACCGAUGGCGAAGGCAAUCCCCUGGGCCUGCACUGACGCUCAUGCACGAAAGCGUGGGGAGCAAACAGG
RNAcentral lists this ribosomal RNA (253 nucleotides) under uncultured bacterium. Its description in RNAcentral is "partial 16S ribosomal RNA". It matches the Rfam family "Bacterial small subunit ribosomal RNA", at positions 524 to 776 of the family's 1533-position model. The record is from RNAcentral.